Molecule: ribosomal RNA, 264 nt
Filed under: uncultured bacterium
Lineage: Bacteria
Description: partial 16S ribosomal RNA
Rfam family: Bacterial small subunit ribosomal RNA
Source: RNAcentral
CCGGCGCACGGGGUGAGUAACGCGUGUGCAACCUGCCCGGCACAGUGGGAUAAUCCGGAGAAAUCCGGUCUAAUACCGCAUGACGCGGGAAAGGCGCAUGCCUUUUCCGCCAAAGGAGGCGACUCCGGUGCCGGCUGGGCACGCGUGACAUUAGCUAGUUGGCGGGGCGACGGCCCACCAAGGCGACGAUGUCUAGGGGUUCUGAGAGGAAGGUCCCCCACACUGGUACUGAGACACGGACCAGACUCCUACGGGAGGCAGCAG